RNAcentral lists this ribosomal RNA (446 nucleotides) under uncultured bacterium. RNAcentral describes it as "bacterial SSU rRNA". It matches the Rfam family "Bacterial small subunit ribosomal RNA", at positions 329 to 792 of the family's 1533-position model. The record is from RNAcentral.
UUCCAGACUCCUACGGGAGGCAGCAGUGGGGAAUAUUGCACAAUGGGGGAAACCCUGAUGCAGCGACGCCGCGUGAGCGAUGAAGUAUUUCGGUAUGUAAAGCUCUAUCAGCAGGGAAGAAAAUGACGGUACCUGAAGAAGAAGCCCCGGCUAACUACGUGCCAGCAGCCGCGGUAAUACGUAGGGGGCAAGCGUUAUCCGGAUUUACUGGGUGUAAAGGGGGCGCAGACGGCGAUGCAAGCCAGAUGUGAAAGCCCGGGGCUCAACCCCGGGACUGCAUUUGGAACUGUAAGGCUAGAGUGUCGGAGAGGCAGGCGGAAUUCCUAGUGUAGCGGUGAAAUGCGUAGAUAUUAGGAGGAACACCAGUGGCGAAGGCGGCCUGCUGGACGAUGACUGACGUUGAGGCUCGAAAGCGUGGGGAGCAAACAGGAUUAGAUCCCCGAGUA